Rhinichthys klamathensis goyatoka is the source of this 913-nucleotide long non-coding RNA. RefSeq lists it as uncharacterized. Lineage: Eukaryota; Metazoa; Chordata; Actinopteri; Cypriniformes; Leuciscidae. The record is from RefSeq and is a predicted model, not a curated record. The transcript is spliced from 2 exons.
AAUGCAUGAUGGAGACUUGGCGAUUGCCUAUUCUGGUUUACUUUGGGAUGUUACCUUUAAAACUGCUGUUUGUGUAUGUAUCAUUCUUAUUAUCGGUCAGUGCAUUAUGUUAUGUUGUAUGUGUUCCAUGUUGAAACGUCAGGUUGAAGAUAAUUCUAUGAUCAAUAUUGGACGUUCCCGUUGGAUGUGAUGGUUCUUGAUUACCUCUCUCAAACCCAAGAAAUACUUUUCCAAAAAAAAAAAAAAAAAAAAAAAAAAAAAAAAAUUUCUUAACACCAACUAUGAUAAUUCUGCUCAAGUGAAGUAGAGCUGUAACCAGUGUGCAUGAGGUGUCAUUCCUAUGACGGGUAAGAUUCUCCGAUGGCCAUAGGGGGACAACCUAAGCCAGGAUGGCACCGCCACUGGGCACCUGCCCACCAGGAAAGGGAGGUGUUAUUUAGGAAAAGGGAGUGGACGUGAUGCUACUUAUGGGCCAAGAGCAUCAAAGGGGGGUCUGUAAGAAAUUAUAGUCUGCUCCGAUCCAACUUCCACUCCAAUAUAGAUGUAUUGAAAUGUUCCUUCACUUAAAAGAGCUUAUUUAUCAUAGAAUUAAUUCCUUACAAUCUUAAAAGUAUCAGUCACGUUUAUUACCUAUAGCGUGGGAAUGACAGCGGGUAUUCAAGAACCAUCUUGAUUAGGGAGCUUCAAAGAGAUGUUAUCACCUUAAACAUUUGGCCAUUCUUAUUUGAAAGAAGAUCAAAGAUGGAAGACAGCUGUUACGACAAGAGCAACUUCAUUUACAUUAAGAGGACAGUAACAGGAUAAAAGGUUUAAGAUUUGAAUGUUCUGGGUUCAUUCUGACGCCAGUGAACCCAAGGUGCUUCGUGUCCCUUGCCACUGCUAUGCUGUAAUAAACUUCAUUUUUGAGAUCUUC